RNAcentral lists this ribosomal RNA (510 nucleotides) under uncultured bacterium. RNAcentral's name for it is "partial 16S ribosomal RNA". It matches the Rfam family "Bacterial small subunit ribosomal RNA", at positions 28 to 507 of the family's 1533-position model. The record is from RNAcentral.
GACGAACGCUGGCGGCGUGCUUAACACAUGCAAGUCGAACGAAGAGCGAUGGAAGCUUGCUUCUAUCAAUCUUAGUGGCGAACGGGUGAGUAACGCGUAAUCAACCUGCCCUUCAGAGGGGGACAACAGUUGGAAACGACUGCUAAUACCGCAUACGAUCUAAUCUCGGCAUCGAGGAUAGAUGAAAGGUGGCCUCUACAUGUAAGCUAUCACUGAAGGAGGGGAUUGCGUCUGAUUAGCUAGUUGGAGGGGUAACGGCCCACCAAGGCGAUGAUCAGUAGCCGGUCUGAGAGGAUGAACGGCCACAUUGGGACUGAGACACGGCCCAGACUCCUACGGGAGGCAGCAGUGGGGAAUCUUCCGCAAUGGACGAAAGUCUGACGGAGCAACGCCGCGUGAGUGAUGACGGCCCUCGGGUUGUAAAGCUCUGUUAAUCGGGACGAAAGGCCUUCUUGCGAAUAGUGAGAAGGAUUGACGGUACCGGAAUAGAAAGCCACGGCUAACUACGUG